Molecule: ribosomal RNA, 321 nt
Filed under: uncultured eukaryote
Lineage: Eukaryota
Description: partial 18S ribosomal RNA
Rfam family: Eukaryotic small subunit ribosomal RNA
Source: RNAcentral
CCCUUAGAUGUUCUGGGCUGCACGCGCGCUACACUGAUGCACUCAACGAGUAUACAGCCUUAUCCGGAAGGAUUGGGUAAUCUUUUGAACGUGCAUCGUGAUGGGGAUAGAUUAUUGCAAUUAUUAAUCUUCAACGAGGAAUUCCUAGUAAGCGCAAGUCAUCAGCUUGCGCUGAUUACGUCCCUGCCCUUUGUACACACCGCCCGUCGCUCCUACCGAUUGAGUGAUCCGGUGAGUGAUUCGGACUGUUGCUAGGACUCGCGUCUGUGCAGCGGAAAGUUUUGCAAACCUUAUCACUUAGGGGAAGGAGAAGUCGUAACA